Molecule: small RNA, 68 nt
Organism: Burkholderia pseudomallei
Lineage: Bacteria; Pseudomonadati; Pseudomonadota; Betaproteobacteria; Burkholderiales; Burkholderiaceae
Rfam family: int-alpA RNA
About the family: Acidobacteria (1 example), Planctomycetes (1 example), Proteobacteria. Environment (Lake Washington)
Source: Rfam
GUCGAGUCUAGGGCGGCCACCCGAAAAUCGGACACCUUCUCCGGCUGGCUUGGCGUUCUUCGUGAAGG